Long non-coding RNA from Haliotis rubra (blacklip abalone), 131 nucleotides. RefSeq lists it as uncharacterized. NCBI's taxonomy places the organism in Eukaryota, Metazoa, Mollusca, Gastropoda, Lepetellida, Haliotidae. The record is from RefSeq and is a predicted model, not a curated record. The transcript has 4 exons.
CGCUAAUGCACAGCAGAUACUGGCACAGUAUCAGGUAAAGAUGAUGCAAGUGAAAGAGAGGACUGUCUCAGCUGCCUUUUUCGACCUUUGGUGAACUUUCACCCUCAAAACAAGCUGACUUUCAUCCGACA